This is a long non-coding RNA of Sinocyclocheilus anshuiensis, 336 nucleotides long. RefSeq lists it as uncharacterized. The transcript is spliced from 2 exons. The record is from RefSeq and is a predicted model, not a curated record. Lineage: Eukaryota; Metazoa; Chordata; Actinopteri; Cypriniformes; Cyprinidae.
AAGGGUGUGGUCGAAGAAGUGGCCCCGUGACGUCACAGCCUCCGCGCGCACGGAGCUGGCGAGAGCUGCUGUUCAGCGAGUGUGUUUCAUAUCGCGAUAAAUCCAUCACCAAGCCAGACAAACCAUGGCGCACGGGCUGAAAGAACGCUUCGAGAAGUUCCUUUACGAGAAGAACCUGAUGACAGACGUGCUGGCGAAGAUCGAGGCGAGGACCGGAGUGAGCAGGUCCUACAUCGCGUGCGCUGUCGUCUUGCUCGUUGCAGUCUAUCUGGUGGUCGGAUACGGCGCUUCUCUGCUCUGUAACCUCAUCGGAUUCGUUUAUCCUGCGUACAUAUC